CGCGGGGGCUGCCCUAUACUGGCAAGUCGAGCGAACAGAUAAGGAGCUUGCUCCUUUGACGUUAGCGGCGGACGGGUGAGUAACACGUGGGUAACCUACCUAUAAGACUGGAAUAACUCCGGGAAACCGGGGCUAAUGCCGGAUAACAUAUAGAACCGCAUGGUUCUAUAGUGAAAGAUGGUUUUGCUAUCACUUAUAGAUGGACCCGCGCCGUAUUAGCUAGUUGGUAAGGUAAUGGCUUACCAAGGCGACGAUACGUAGCCGACCUGAGAGGGUGAUCGGCCACACUGGAACUGAGACACGGUCCAGACUCCUACGGGAGGCAGCAGUAGGGAAUCUUCCGCAAUGGGCGAAAGCCUGACGGAGCAACGCCGCGUGAGUGAUGAAGGGUUUCGGCUCGUAAAACUCUGUUAUUAGGGAAGAACAUAUGUGUAAGUAACUGUGCACAUCUUGACGGUACCUAAUCAGAAAGCCACGGCUAACUACGUGCCAGCAGCCGCGGUAAUACGUAGGUGGCAAGCGUUAUCCGGAAUUAUUGGGCGUAAAGCGCGCGUAGGCGGUUUCUUAAGUCUGAUGUGAAAGCCCACGGGCUCAACCGUGGAGGGGUCAUUGGAAACUGGGAAACUUGAGUGCACAAAAGAAAGUGGAAUUCCCAUGUGUAGCGUUGAAAUGGGGCAGAGAU
This 682-nucleotide ribosomal RNA is filed under the name Staphylococcus gallinarum. Its description in RNAcentral is "bacterial SSU rRNA". It matches the Rfam family "Bacterial small subunit ribosomal RNA", at positions 38 to 697 of the family's 1533-position model. The record is from RNAcentral. Lineage: Bacteria; Bacillati; Bacillota; Bacilli; Caryophanales; Staphylococcaceae.